This 790-nucleotide ribosomal RNA is filed under the name uncultured archaeon. RNAcentral's name for it is "bacterial SSU rRNA". It matches the Rfam family "Archaeal small subunit ribosomal RNA", at positions 85 to 876 of the family's 1478-position model. The record is from RNAcentral.
ACUGCUCAGUAACACGUGGACAACCUACCCUUAGGACGGGGAUAAACCCGGGAAACUGGGUAUAAUACCCGAUAGAUCUCGGCCGCUGGAAUGCAUCGAGAUCUAAAGCUCCGGCGCCUAAGGAUGGGUCUGCGGCCUAUCAGGUAGUAGUGGGUGUAGUGUACCUACUAGCCUACGACGGGUACGGGUUGUGAGAGCAAGAGCCCGGAGAUGGAUUCUGAGACACGAAUCCAGGCCCUACGGGGUGCAGCAGGCGCGAAAACUUUACAAUGCUGGCAACAGCGAUAAGGGGACCUCGAGUGCCAGGUUACAAAUCUGGCUGUCGUGAUGCCUAAAAAGCAUUGCAUAGCAAGGGCCGGGCAAGACCGGUGCCAGCCGCCGCGGUAACACCGGCGGCUCGAGUGGUAACCGUUAUUAUUGGGUCUAAAGGGUCUGUAGCCGGCCGGAUAAGUCUCUUGGGAAAUCUGGCAGCUUAACUGUCAGGCUUUCAGGAGAUACUGUCUGGCUCGAGGCCGGGAGAGGUGAGAGGUACUUCAGGGGUAGGGGUGAAAUCUUGUAAUCCUUGAAGGACCACCAGUGGCGAAGGCGUCUCACCAGAACGGACCUGACGGCAAGGGACGAAAGCUAGGGGCACGAACCGGAUUAGAUACCCGGGUAGUCCUAGCCGUAAACGAUACUCGCUAGGUGUCGGCCACGGUGCGACCGUUGUCGGUGCCGUAGGGAAGCCGUGAAGCGAGCCACCUGGGAAGUACGGCCGCAAGGCUGAAACUUAAAGGAAUUGGCGGGGGAG